UACAGAGGGGGCAAGCGUUGUUCGGAAUUACUGGGCGUAAAGGGCGCGUAGGCGGCCCGCUAAGUCGAACGUGAAAUCCCCGAGCUCAACUCGGGAACUGCGUCCGAUACUGGUGGGCUUGAAUCCGGGAGAGGGAUGCGGAAUUCCAGGUGUAGCGGUGAAAUGCGUAGAGAUCGGGCGGAACACCAGCGGCGAAGGCGGCAUCCUGGCCCGUACCUGACGCUGAGGCGCGAGAGCGUGGGGAGCAAACCGG
Molecule: ribosomal RNA, 253 nt
Filed under: uncultured bacterium
Lineage: Bacteria
Description: partial 16S ribosomal RNA
Rfam family: Bacterial small subunit ribosomal RNA
Source: RNAcentral